AUUUAACUGACGAAUCCCAACUAGGAUGAAACGCAUGUCAAACUGAAU
This is a non-coding RNA of Schistosoma mattheei, 48 nucleotides long. Lineage: Eukaryota; Metazoa; Platyhelminthes; Trematoda; Strigeidida; Schistosomatidae. The record is from Rfam.